RNAcentral lists this long non-coding RNA (1988 nucleotides) under Bemisia tabaci. RNAcentral describes it as "lncRNA ENSSSA3NGG006340". The record is from RNAcentral. Lineage: Eukaryota; Metazoa; Arthropoda; Insecta; Hemiptera; Aleyrodidae.
AGUGGGAGAAUUGUAUCUCAAAAGCUCACUCCCUCCUAUGACCUUGAGGGCCUGGCGAAUGUCGUCACAUUUUAUUAGCUCUGCAGUCACGCGGCCAUGAGUCACCUCGUUGUUGCCAAAUCGAGCCAUUAGAACAUUCCAGAAGUCCAAUUAUUAGACGAUAAAACUUCGCACGCAUUCCUCUUCUUAUCAGCCUCCAUUUCGCUCAUUUACACCAUUAUGCAGCAUGUUAUCAGGCGCAAAAUAGCGUGAUAAUAUCCGGAAAGUGAAUGUGUUCAUUGUUCUACCCCCACCAAGCUCUGAAUACGGGGGAUGAGUCAUCCCUGUGAAUGAACUCGUACGCCAUUCAAAAGCGGCAACUCUGCUUGCUGUGUUAUAAAUGGCUCAGUAGUUUUCUAUGGGGGCCCUCUAUUGGGUUAAAAUGACGUCAGGCAGUCACGUGGACCAAUCGCAGCGCCGCUUUCAUCACGCGACGAAGUAGCCUUCGGAAACGUAACAGCUUACACACACAAACAAUAGUCUUUGUUAGAACGUCUGGAAAGCAUGUGUACUCCGUGAAAGUGCGUUUUCUUGAGCAAAAUAAUCUGAUUAAACGUGAGCGAUUAAUAUUGUAAACAAGUGAUAUCUGUGGUGAGUUUAUCGUGUUGUGAUCUGCAGGGAUCGAAUCCCUUUGAAUCGUUCUUGGCUCUGCAAAUCGAGGAUUAUUUCAUCAUCCCGCCCAGCGCUGAGCGAGUUCCAGGAAUCUUCUGUGGUUAAAGUGAUCAACAACAUCACUUCUUCCGAAGCUUUGAAAGCAGGCAUCAUUACCUUUGAAGAGGUUUUAAAUCAGAAGUCGCGUGGAAGAUGUGGUCAGGAGCAAGGGAAGCCAAAGUGGGGCGGAUUUCUUGGCGAGAACAGUGCUUCCUUAGCAGCCACAAGUAUUCCUCCAGUAAUGAUGGACACCCCCUCAACUUGGUGGACGGAGGACUUCGUGGACCUGACCAGCUUCACGACGACAGUAGUGGAUGAACGUGGAAUCAAUCAAUCAAGCUCAGAUGGUGUGUAUUUCUGAUAAUCCUGCAAGUGCAAAACGAGUUGUCGAGGCGUGUGCGGUUGCAGGAAAUGUGGGCUUCAAUGCUCAGCAUUGUGCAUCAACUGCAGUGAUACACUGAUACAUGCGAAAACAUGCCUGAAAUUGCUUUAGCGGACUCUGAGGACGAGGAUGAUGUUGAAGCUUAUGACUUUUUCGAUGAGCCAAGUACAGAAUAAGAUUUUGAAGCUGUCAUGACUGAAGUUCAAGACCUUCCAGAAAGCCCACAUUCAGAAAUAAACAAUGAACCUAAAGGUUUGUUAUUUCUUUUACACUGCUCGCUUGUUAUCAAAAACUUCUUGCAUAGAAAAAAUACCAUGGCAAGCCUUAUUAAACAAUCAGGUGUUCGUUAGUGACAUGUAUUCCCGAUAAUCAUCACCAAAAUUUCGGUAAGGAUUAUCAGAAAUACACACCAUAUAUGAACACCAGAUUGCUAGAUGCUUUUCCUAUUUGGGAUUAGUGAUGCUAAAAUUUUAAUCUUCCAUCAAUUUAGGUUCCUUUUUUCCCCUUUUUUUUUCUUGUCCUUCCUUUUCUUUUUUUUUUUUCGUCUGACUUCUAGCUUCAUAUUCUGGAUACUGUUAUAGAGUCGGAGAUCAACGCCGGCCGUGAUGUCUAUGGAGGAGAGCCAGACCCAUCCACCUGUCCGUCACCAAAAGUUAGAACUUCGUUGCACCGAGCUGCCAAACGCCCACGAUUGGACUAACUCACUUACUUAUCAAACAUGUCCACAUUUUGAAAAUAUUUUGAUUUUGUCUAAAUCCGUAACCAGUCAUUUAUGUAAUGGGAUUAAUAAAAUAAUACAUUGAAAUAACCGCUUGUAUGACGUACACGUAAAGGGUUGCAGGGAUAAAGGGUGUUAAGUACGAGGGUCCCCCAAAAAGUAAAGUUCCCUACCUUGUAACUUCUGAGCGAAACGAGA